ACAUGCAAGUCGAGCGGAAACGACAUCGAAAGCUUGCUUUUGAUAGGCGUCGACCGGCGCACGGGUGAGUAACGCGUAUCCAACCUGCCCACCACUUGGGGAUAACCUUGCGAAAGUAAGACUAAUACCCGAUGAUAUCUCUAGACGACAUCUGAAAGGGAUUAAAGAUUUAUCGGUGAUGGAUGGGGAUGCGUCUGAUUAGCUUGUUGGCGGGGUAACGGCCCACCAAGGCAACGAUCAGUAGGGGUUCUGAGAGGAAGGUCCCCCACAUUGGAACUGAGACACGGUCCAAACUCCUACGGGAGGCAGCAGUGAGGAAUAUUGGUCAAUGGGCGAGAGCCUGAACCAGCCAAGUAGCGUGCAGGACGACGGCCCUAUGGGUUGUAAACUGCUUUUAUAAGGGAAUAAAGUGAGUCUCGUGAGACUUUUUGCAUGUA
Molecule: ribosomal RNA, 437 nt
Filed under: uncultured Prevotella sp.
Lineage: Bacteria; Pseudomonadati; Bacteroidota; Bacteroidia; Bacteroidales; Prevotellaceae
Description: bacterial SSU rRNA
Rfam family: Bacterial small subunit ribosomal RNA
Source: RNAcentral